This 447-nucleotide ribosomal RNA is filed under the name Aeribacillus sp. S44D033. Its description in RNAcentral is "bacterial SSU rRNA". It matches the Rfam family "Bacterial small subunit ribosomal RNA", at positions 95 to 526 of the family's 1533-position model. Lineage: Bacteria; Bacillati; Bacillota; Bacilli; Caryophanales; Bacillaceae. The record is from RNAcentral.
GCGGCGGACGGGUGAGUAACACGUGGGCAACCUGCCCUGCAGACUGGGAUAACUUCGGGAAACCGGAGCUAAUACCGGAUAACACCGAAAACCGCAUGGUUUUCGGUUGAAAGGCGGCUUUUAGCUGUCACUGCAGGAUGGGCCCGCGGCGCAUUACCUAGUUGGUGAGGUAACGGCUCACCAAGGCGACGAUGCGUAGCCGACCUGAGAGGGUGACCGGCCACACUGGGACUGAGACACGGCCCAAACUCCUACGGGAGGCAGCAGUAGGGAAUCUUCCGCAAUGGACGAAAGUCUGACGGAGCAACCCCGCCUGAGCGAAAAAGGUCUUCGGAUCGUAAAGCUCUGUUGUCAGGGAAGAACAAAUACCGUUCGAACAGGGCGGUACCUUGACGGUUCCUGACGAGGAAGCCACGGCUAACUACGUGCCAGCAGCCGCGGUAAUAC